UAAUAAUUUUUUAUUUUUUAUUAGAUUGUAAAAUAUAAAAUAAUUAAAACCAUUUUUUAAAUACUAGAAGAGAAUAAUGGCAUAAACUUGCUUGACUGUAAGAUUGACAAAUCUAGCAGGGACAUUAAAAGUCGGUCAUAGCGAUCCGUAUGGUACUACGUGGAAAGGCCAUCGCCAACGGAUAAAACGGUACGCCAGGGAUAACAGGCUAAUAACUCCUGAGAGUCCUUAUCGACGGGGUUGUCUGGCACCUCGAUGUCGGCUCAUCGCAUCCUGGUGCUGAAGAAGGUUCCAAGGGUUCGGCUGUUCGCCGAAUAAAGCGGUACGUGAGCUGGGUUUAAAACGUCGUGAGACAGUUUGGUCCCUAUCUACCGUAAAUGUAUAAGAAUUACUAAAGAUCUGACCCUAGUACGAGAGGAUCGGGGAAGGCUAAUCUAUGGUUGACUAAUUGUAUAAAUAAAUGCAUAGUUAGGUAGCUACAUUAGUUAAGAAUAAUCGCUGAACAAAUCUAAGUGAGAAGUCUACUUUUAAUCAAGUUCUUAUUUAAAAAAAUAAUAGACUAUUAUUUUAAUUAGGCUUAGUAUGAUAAAUAGUAAUAUUUUAUGUAUAUAAGUGCUAAUAUUUUUAAAUAUUUUAAA
Molecule: ribosomal RNA, 638 nt
Filed under: Colponema vietnamica
Lineage: Eukaryota; Colponemida; Colponemidia
Description: LSU rRNA
Rfam family: Bacterial large subunit ribosomal RNA
Source: RNAcentral